RNAcentral lists this long non-coding RNA (26790 nucleotides) under Vitis vinifera (wine grape). RNAcentral describes it as "long non-coding RNA (VVIN_LNC004607)". Lineage: Eukaryota; Viridiplantae; Streptophyta; Magnoliopsida; Vitales; Vitaceae. The record is from RNAcentral.
AGAGGAGAAGAGAGAAAAACGUAGGUUUUUCUCAUCAUGCCCAGAUUUCAUCAAAUGUCCGAUCCCGCUUCGUCCGUGGUCCGAUCGAGUUGAAAUUUGAAGGAGAGGUUCGUGGCUCAUGUAUCUUCAAUAUGAACGGUGGAGAUCAGAUUUGGAGUUUCGGACAGUCAUUAGAGAGAAAGAGGAGAAGAGAGAAAAACGUAGGUUUUUCUCAUCAUGCCCAGAUUUCAUCAAAUGUCCGAUCCCACUUUGUCCGUGGUCCGAUCGAGUUGAAAUUUGAAGGAGAGGUUCGUGGCUCAUGUAUCUUCAAUAUGAACGGUGGAGAUUGGAUUUGGAGUUUCGGACAGUCAUUAGAGGGAAAGAGGAGAAGAGAGAAAAAUAGUGGUUUUUUACAUCAUGCCCAGAUUUCAUCAAAGGUCCGAUGCCGCUUUUUUCAUGGUCUGAUUGAGCUGAAAUUUGGAGGAGAGGUUUAUAAGUCAUUAAUAUUAAAUUUGAACGGUGAAGAUCGGAUUUAGAGUUUUGGAAAGUCAUCUUUCAGCCAAAAACAAAACAUUUAUUUUAUCAAAGAUGGCGUUUCCUGAAAGUGUCAUUGUUGCCUAAGACAUACAAUGACAGAGGCGAAGAGAACGCUUUAGAGAAGCGUCAUCUGUUACCUUUCUUGACGCUUAAAAAACGUCAUUGUUUCCCAUUUUUCUUGUAGUUUAAGGUACUAAAAUACAAAAAUUUUGAUCAAAGUACAAGAAUGCUACUGAAAUAUGAGAAAUAUGACUAUUUGAAAAAUAUGAACAUGGUAUGAAUAAUGUAACUAGAAUAUAUAUGAAGAAUGCUAUCAAAGUACAAUAAACAUGACCAAAGUACUAAGAUAUAAAAUUUAUGAUUUAGAUAUUAAAAUUGUAAUUAUGGUACAAAAAGUAUAAGUAGGAUAUGAGGAUUGUGAUCGAGAUACAAAAAUGAUAUUAAGAUAUGAAAAAUAUAGCCAAAAUACUAAAAUAUGAAAACUAUGAGCUAGAUGUGAAGAAUAUAACUAAGUCAUAGGAAAUGUGAUUAAAAUACCAAGAAUAUGAGUAUCAAAAAUGUAAUUGGGAUGUGAAAAAUGUCUCAAUGCCUAUACAUUAAAUAAAAGAAAUAAUUAUGUAAAAUAGCAUAAAAUAAAUAAAUAAGAAAACACUACAUCAAGAGAAUGGGAUCUCCAAUGUAUUUUUUAUCUUCUUCACCACACAAAGGAAAUUCAGCUUAACAUAACUAAUUACAAAAUUAUAGAAUAUAAAUGAGAUUAAUUAAUUUUUAAUCUUCUUUAUUAUCUUUAAUUACUAAUCAAGUUCCCAAUUUGCAUUUAAAAAAUAUCUUAAUGACCAAAUAAAGAAGAGUUUAAAAAUUUUUGUUUUUAUGCAACACAUGUCUUGUGGUUGCAUUCCUCUCUUUCAAUAAGUUUUAUUUUAUUUAAUUUUUUUUAUUUUUAUUACCUUUCAAUAUACAUGAGAUAAGAUAUUAUUGGUGAAAGUACAUACGAUAUUAAAGAAUCACGCAUUGAUACCAAAGUUUGACCUCAACAUUGACUCAUUGUGGUAUGUAUAUUUAUAGUGCAAUCGGAAGCAGUGAUUUUUGUGAAUUGAUAUAAAACAAACCGGAUAAAAGAGAUUUUCCAAAGUUUGAUUAUCACAAGUGACUAAUUUAGAGAUACAAGUAGUCGAAUUCAGUAGAACUAACUAACUAAUCUCCAUCCUCUUACAGCUCCAAUUCCUACCAAACAUGGAACUUGUGGUGGGGCCAGAGCCCCUUUCAAUUAUUGAAUGAUCUCAUUCAAUUCUGACAGCACAACAAGCUCCACAUUCCAAACCCUCGCCAACACCUUUCCUCGAAACGAUAUAAGCAACUACAUGACUUGUAAACAAAUACCUACUUUCUAUCUUUAUAACGUGUUACUCCACAUUUCCACAAAACCUCAAGCCCUAUAUCCAUGGAGAGAAGGAAAUCCAGAGUCAGCCUCGACCCUUUAGCCACGGUGAAAGCGGCUGCAUGGGCUUGGUAUCAGCGUGGAUCAGGGUCUGAAGGCAAACCCAUAAGCGAGUUCCAGGUCACCAGGGCUCGUCCUGCUCCCAUACCCUCACGGUACAAGCUAGAAGCCAUGAGAAUGGCUGAAGAAGGUCCAGAGAAGGAGGGCUCAAGCGCAAGUUCCGCUACCUCUACUCCAAAUCUUAGCCAUACUUCUCUUCUUGAUACGUACGAAAUAGAAAGAAUCUCUCAGCAGCUUGAUAUUCUCAUAGAAACAAGCGGCAAAGGCAUCAGAACUGGCACCAACUUGUACAAAGGAAGCGGCACAAAUUCGAGGAAGGAGAAGAAGAAAUUGAAAGGGUUUUGGGCAAGGCAUGCGAUUGUGUGUGGCACAGAGGACGAUGUGUUGGAGACAAUAAGAGUUUCGGGGGGCGAUCGGAAGAGCAGGUGGCAGUGAUUAAGGCGGGGAGUUGCAGUUCACGAGGUGCCCAUGCCUGAGUGAAUUGGACCAUGUUGCAUUUUCGGUUGGGUCGUUGGCAAUUUAUUAAAUUUGCCACAUCUGCAGGACUAUGUAGUUUAGGGUGGAUUCCAAUUAUAGACCACAUUGAUCAUGCUGUGUCCCGGGUUUCUUUCUUCACGCGUACAAUGCUGCAAACCUCUGAUUUGUACACAUCCGCAUUGGUUUGUUGGGUCAAGGAAAUAAAGCAAUAAAAUAUAGUUUCAUUCAAUAAUUUUCCCUGAUUAUUUUUAUUUUCAUUUACUUUUUGGUGUUCAAUAUUUGCUACAUUAGGAAAAGUUUUGUAGGUUUCGUGAAGAAGUUGCAAUGUUACUUUCAAUCAAGGACUUUAUCAGGUGUUAUUCCAAAUACACAAAUACACAUCGGUUAUGAAUAUGUUUGGAAUUAUAAACAGGAAAAGGAAAUGGAAAAUUCAUUUGAUUUUCUAUUCAUUAUUACUACUUAUGAAUUCAUUUGAUGCAGAUCCUUUUCCUUUCUUUUUUUUCUUUCCUUCAGGGUUUUAGAUUUCUAAAGUAGUUCUGAAAAGAGUAGUCCUCGCCAAUUUGUUCAACAACCUGUAAUCUACAAAGCAUUAAAACUAUGAAAGACUAAAGAAUUUACAUAUGUAUAUAUAAGUAGAAUAUUGAUGGAGAAGUUUGUAUUUUUGUGAAAUAUAUCGAGUAAGCCACAUUAAAUGUCAUGUCACUUCUUAUAUGCUUUCUGAUAAAUAUAUUGUGUGGACUAGACCCUCCGGCCACUAACAUGGUACUAGUGGAGCAACAUUGAAUAGGGUCUCAUGCGAGAAAAGGACUUGUGUCUGUAUUGUCUUCUUUUGUGAUUAUCUGCUCGAAGCAUCACCAAAUGGGAUCUUCUGGUCUAUUAGAUGAUGAGUAAAAUUAUGUUCAACUGCUCAUAUUUUUUAUGACCUUCUUUUCUACUUGUAAAACAAUUUGAAAUAUGAUUUUUAAGCAGUUACAAUUUCUCAUAGUUAGAUGUGUUGUGCAUAUAUAGGAUUACCUGGAGCCUGGAGGCAACAUUGAAUGGCCUAUUAUAAGGAAGGUGCUGGUGACUGACGUUUUGGGGUACUACGUGCUCCAAGGACGGCCAAGUGGAAUGUAAAGGCCAUUUUGGACCACCGCUAGUGGAGUUCGAUCUUUGUCCACCACCAAAAUUGAGUGAAAUUCCAUCUUAAGUCAUAUUGUUGACUCGCAUAUUUCUCUUAUCAUUAAUUUUAUAUCUCAAUCAUGUUGGAAAUUCUGUUUUACUCUUUUACCCGAUCGCAAGUGAAAUUUAAUCUAAAAUGAGUUGAAUUUAAUUUAAUUUAAUUACCCUUCCAUCAUUUAUUUUUAAUUGUUAAAUAAUUUGAAAUUUUAUUUUGAUGGAUGUUACUUUUAUAUUGUUUUUUGCCACCUCUCUUAUAAUAAAAUUAUAUUUGAUUCGCAAAAGAUAAGAUUAUAUAAAAUAAAAUAAAAUAAAAUAAAAAGUGAGCCAACAUAGUUUGAUUGAGAAUGUGGGAAGAAAAGUUUAGCUUUGGUAAGAUAAGUGAGUCACCUCUCCUAUCUAAUUUCAUUGCCGAGAUAUAAGCAGAAAGGAUUUUAAAUUCAUUUUUUUUUCAUUAAUUCUUUCUCUAUAUAUUUUAUUAAAUUAAAACUUUUUGUUUGGAAAAAGAAAAAUUAAAAUUAAAAAUAUUUAUAUAUAGAAUAUAUUUUAAAAUAAUAUUAAUAUAUAGUGUUAUUUAAUGUAAUAUAUAAUAUGUUUUUCUAUAUUUAGUAUAUAAUUUAAUUAAUGUACAUUAUUUAAUCACAUGUUUUUAUUUUUUAUUUAUAAAAUUGUAGAUAUUUUAAUUAUUGACACAACUAAAAUAUUAACUAAUUACAAGUCAUGGGUUGCAUCAGGAGUUGCACAAAUUAUACAAGUCAUGGAAUUUUUGUACGAUGAUAAAUUAUUAACAGUCGAUUCAUGGAUUUGGGUAAUCUAUUAAAGGUUGUAGUGCAAUACCUCUUAAUUGGAUAAGUUGAUUGUCCUGGUUGUCAGGAUGAGUUUCUCAUAGUGAGUGUAUUAGUAUGUAUGGUUACACAUAAUCAUAAUGUAAGAUUAUCAAUUGUCAUGAUUCACUAAGCUAAUAUAUUGCAUGGACUCUCCAAAUGCUUGUGUACUAGAACUGACAAAAAUAGUAGGUUCAGGAACCUUUGGAUACAUAGUCCUUUGUGCUUAUGUGGUAGUGUCUUCAAGUGUUUUCCAAUCUAUAUCAUGUUUUGUCCUACUACUCAUAUAGUCUUCUUCCAAAAAUAUGACAUUUAUACUAACAAGUACCUUUUAGUCAAUCUAACUAUAAAAGUAAUGCCCUAUUGUUCCUUUUGGAUAGCCUACAAACUGACAUACCUCAAACCUUACUCCCAACUUGUCUACCUUUGGCUUCAGCACAUGUGUUGGACACCCCCCCCCCCCCCCCAAAAUUUGAAUGUCGCUAUGAACACUAAAUUACUCUGUUUCUUGAAGGAUGCAUGCAUCUAUCCUAAGAUUCUCUAAAUCUAACGUAGCAAAAAAUAAUGAUUUCAAAAACCAUAUAACAUAUCAGAUUUAGACAUUAAAAUUUCACACCUAUGAUUUGGAUUUUCCUAAAUUGAUUUGCAUCCAAUGAAAACUCUAAAACCACGAUGGUUGUUGUAGAACUCAUCUACCCGACGAUCUUCCACCUGAUCUCUCCAUGGGUCUUGGCAUAAUAGUAACCCAAUCCAUAGGGAGUAUAUGACCAAUUUAAGGUCUUAGCCAUAGGUUAAAGUCUCUUAUUGAUUUCAACACAAGCUUAAUAUUCUCUCAAGGUUGAGAGUUCAUGCAACAUAGUAGAUUGGUAAAACAUGACAAUUUGAUAGCCUUAUGUCAUGAUUCAAUGUAGGUCCUGUCCAAUUUAUAACCAUACACACUAGUGCACUCAACAUGGGAAACCCAUCUUGACAGUCAAAACAAGUCAUUCCUCUAAUUAGAAGGUAGUGCACUAUAAUCUCUACUGGAUUGCCUAGAUCCAUGAAUUAAUUGUGAACAACUUAUCAUCUUACAAGGAACCCAUGACUUAUAUCCUCUAUAUAACUCCUAGUGUACCCAAGUCAUGUACAAUGCAAGUAAUAUGAGUUGAAUGCUCAAAUCAAUGUUAGUGCAUAAAAAUGAUAGCAAGAGGAUAGUGAAUUUUAACUUCAUUACAUCAUGGCUUGCUUUUAGGGGCUCAAUCCCAACUAAUAUGUUGCAAACUGGGUUUAGGACCUUCCCACAUCUCUAUGAGAGUUAAAGGUAACAACUUGGAAGACACUAGGUUGAGAAAGUAAGCCAUAGUAUCCAAGCUAUAUCCCCAAAAAGAUACAAGAAUUGGUAAGAAGCUCAUCAUAGAUCUCACCAUGUCCAUCAAUGUUUGAUUUCUUAUUUCUGGUACUCCAUUUUGUUGUGGAGCUCCAAGUGCACUCAAUGGGGAUAUAAUAUAAUGCUCCUUAAUAAAAGAAUUGAACUAGGAAUACAUGUACUCACCACCUCGAUCAGUUCAAAGUGCCUUAACAUGUUUACCCAACUCAUUUUUUAUUCCACCUUGAAUUCUAUGAAUUUGUCCAAGGCUUCGGACUUCCUAUGCAUUAGGUAAAUAAACAUGAACCUUGAGUAAUCAUUCGUAAACAUGAUGAAAUACUCAUACCUUCCUUGUGCAUUGACAUUAAAAUGCCCACACACGUUAGUAUAUACCAACUCUAAACACUCUUUAGCUCUAUAUCCUUCAGUAGUAAAAGGCAUCUAGGUCAUUUUACCUUCUAUACAGGAUUCAUAGAUUGGAAGAUCUUUUGGAAUCAAAGGUGCAAUAUUCCAAAGUUAACUAGUCUUUGGAUCCUAUUUAGAUUAAUAUGACCUAUGCACAAGUGCCAAAAUUAUGUUUGAUUAAUGCUAAGAUUUUUUAUUUAAAGUGUGACAUGAUAAUUCUCAUUACUUGGCAAAAUAGAUAAUGGUGAUAUAUUAUAAAGAUUAUCUAUCAAUGAUCCUAAGCAUAUAAACAAAUUAUUCAAUUUAAUAAAAACCUAUUUAUUAUAAAUAAAAAAUAAAAAAAGAACCACUAAAUAAUUCAAUUUACAUAAGAGAAACUAAAAUCAAAUUCUUCAUAAACUCAAGAACAUAAAAGCAAUCUUUUAAUUCUAGAAGAUAACAAUCAUCUAAGAUAAGGGUAACGUCUCUCACUACUUGCACGUCAAUCGUCACUUUAGAAGCUAAUUUCUGGUACAUGUCCCCAUCAUUCAAGCUUCCCCCUUAGUUGAAACCCCUAUAAAGAAUUACAAACAUGGUCAAUGGCCCCAAAAUCUAUCCACCAAGAAUUAGUAGAAUCCAACAUUAAACAUGAUUCAAUUAAAAGUGAAUGAUGCAUACCUAACUAUAUCUUUAGGAAAAUGUGGCACUCAUUUUUUGAAUGACAUUUCUUACCAUAAAAGAAGCACUUGCCUUGACCCCUUACUCUUCUUCUUUUUUUCCCUUGCUCUUAAACUUUCCCUUUUACUUAAUGAUCUUAAAAGGGUUCUUCUUUUUCUUGUUAAAAGAACCUAAAGAACCCUUAAUUUCCAUAUGAAUGCCCCUCUAGUCUUUGAGAACCCCCUCAGCCAUUUAGAGUUCUCUUAUCAAUUAAAUUAAGCUUACCACCAACUUAUCCAUAUAAUAGUUGAGCUUCAACUACCUAAAAGAAUUUGAUAAGAUCUAUAAAACCAUGUCAACUUAGGUUUCUCAAUCAAUCUUAGCUCCAAGGAUCUUUAUCUUGUUAAAGAGUUUGAUCAUAUGAAUUAUAUGAUAUCUAAUAGGAGUUCCUUCUAACAUCUUAGCAUUCAUAAUAGUUCAAAGCAACAUGUUUAGCUAACCUACCCUUACCACCAAACAUCUCAUGGAGACUAAGAAUAAUAUCAUAAGCUAUUAGCAUAGACACAUGUUAAUGUUGUAGCAUGUUUUCUAAGGACCCAAUUAUGAUACAUUUGGUCUUUUGAUCCACCUUCUCCCUACUAUGAUAAUUAUCCUUCUCCUCUUAAGUGGAAUGUUCAUUCUAGGGAGAUGAAGCAAAUUCCUAAGUCACCCACUUUAGCUCCUCUAAAGUAAGUGUUGUAUCCAGAUUCCUUUUCCAAUCCACGUAGUAAGAAGAUGGACCAAAUUCCUAACUUAGCCACUUUAGCUCCUCUAAAGUGAGUGUUGUGUUUGAAUUUCUUUUCCAAUCCACAUAGUUUGGAUUAUGCAAUUUAUUAGUAGUGAGUAUGAGAUUAAGCGGAUUAUAUGACAUGAUAUUUAUAAUAAAAACAAAAACAAUGCAUUAAUAAAAUGAGCAUACAUAUCAAGGAUAAAUUUAGAAAAAAUGUAGAAUUCUUAAGGCUACAUUUCCAUUUGCAAGGUAUCUUAGUAUCAUAAAAAUCAAACCUACAUAAGAUAGGUCAUAACCUUAUUAUUGGUUAGAAAUAAGAAUGAAAAAUUUGGGAUAUAUCAUCCAUAUAUUGUGUAUAAAGAGCCAUGGAAGCAAUAUUUCAAGGUGAUAUAUUAAGGAGGAGAAAUAUCGGGAAAAAAAUCGCCAAAUACUACUGAUAUAUCAACAAUAUAUCAUCGAUUGGUAAUAAAUCUCUAACUUAUGGAAUUAAUCGGCUAACGUUCCAAUAUAUCGUCGAUAUAUCAACAAUUUAUAAACAAAAAAUCAUUGAUUUUUAUGGAUAAAUUGACACAUAGGGAAGGCAUGAUCUGAUGGCCUAGAUCAUGCCCAUGUUGCAAUAGUCAUCUACCUCUUUAUUUGAUGGCCCACUAAGAGGUGAUCCAAUGACUGGGAAGGAAUCCCAACGACUAUUUGAUGAUCCAAUGGUUAGAUUUCGCUCAAAUUUCGAUCCAACAGCCAGAAUUGUUUUCAAACGUUAAAAUGACAUUCCAAUAGCUAUUUUGGCCCAAUUUUUUCUACAAUAGCUCAUUUUUCCUUUUUCAUACUUCAAUUGAUCUCUUAUUGCUCAUAAUAUUUUUGUUAUUAUUCUCAAAUUCUAAUAAAUUUGGGAAUUUAUAAGUCAAGUUUGUGGAUUAACUCUGAAUUCCAAACAAAGGUUGCUCAUUUAUUGUAAGGUAUGUUUGUUUUAAAUUUUAAUUAUUUUGUAUUAAAGUGUAAUUAAUUAGUAGAUUUUUAAUUAAUUAGUAUAUUUUCAAUAGAUUUAGUAAAUUAACUUAGCUUAGUUAUAUAUUUGAUUCAUAUAAUUAGUAGAUUUGCAAUAAGUUAAUUUUAAAUUAAUUAUUUUAUUUUAUUUUUAUAUUGAAUUGUAAUUAAUUAGUAGAUUUUCAAUGAAUUAGUAUAUUUUCAAUAGAUUUAGCAAAUUAACUUGGCUUAGUUAUAUAUUUUUUUCACAUAAUUAGUAGAUUUGCAAUAAGUUAAUUUUAAAUUAAUUAUUUAAUAUUAUUUUUAUAUGCAAUUGUAAUUAAUUACUAGAUUUUCAAUAGAUUUACUAUAUUUUCAAUAUAUUUAGUAAAUUAACUUAGCAUAGUUUUAUAUUUGAUUCACAUAAUUAGUAGAUUUGCAAUAAGUUGGUUUUAAAAUAAUUAUUUAAUUUUAUUUUUAUAUUCAGUUGUAAUUAAUUAAUAGAUUUACUGUAUUUUCAAUAUAUUUAGUAAAUUAACUUAGCAUAGUUUUAUAUUUAAUUUAUAUAAUUAGUAGAUUUGCAACAGGUUGAUUUUAAAUGAAUUAUUUAAUUUUAUUUUUAUAUUCAAUUGUAAUUAAUUAGUAGAUUUUCAAUAGAUUUACUAUAUUUUCAACACAUUUAGUAAAUUAACUUAGCAUAGUUUUAUAUUUGAUUCACAUAAUUAGUAGAUUUGCUAUAAGUUGAUUUUAAAUUAAUUAUUUAAUUUUAUUUUUAUAUUCAAUUGUAAUUAAUUAGUAGAUUUUCAAUGGAUUUAAUAAAUUAACUUAGCAUAGUUAUAUAUUUGAUUCAUAUAAUUAAUAGUUUUGCAAUAAGUUAAUGAAAUUAAUGAUUUAAUUUUAAUAUUUUGUAUCAUUACUAGACAUUGAACUUAAAUUACUUCAAUUUCAUGUUAUGCAUACUUCCAAUUGAAUAGAAUGGCCAAUGCAAGUGGAAGUGAAAAUGGAGGUGGUGGGAGUGGCAUGGCAGGGUGAAAUCCAACUUAGAAGCAUUGUUCAUCGGUGAAGAGAAAUAAAAAUGGGACAAUUUGUAAUUAUUGUGGAUUGUUGAUGAAGAGUGGAUGCAUCACUUGAUUAAAAAGUUCAUUUAGCGCAUAGAGACUCCCACAACAACACCAUAAAGUUUCCUAGAGUGCCUCCUAAAGUGAAAGAAGAGAUAUGAAAGAUGUUGCAUCAAAAAGCUAAAGCAAAAGCAAAGAAAGUUGCAUAAUAAGACUAAUGUUUACCCUCCUUAUGUGAUGGGUUAUGGUCAACCUUCAAGUUCAACCGAUGAAGAUUAUGGUAUGCCUAGCUAUUCUCCUUCUGCACAAAUAUCAUACCACAUUCCAUAUCAGAUGUAAGGAGGAUUUGACACAAGCACAUGGGUGAACCUCAAGUAUCCCAUCCAUAGAGAGAUAGUGGGCAAGAUUCAACAGAUUUGUGCAUGGCAUGUUCGAAUUUUUAAUCAAUACUAUUGAGGCUCAGUGAGUUAGUACCAAUAUUGUCUCCAACAACAAGACAAGGUUCCUUCAUCUACCAAUUCCAUUAAACCACAUCGAUCACCAUUUUGAUACUAAAUAGUCAUUACAAUGUAUAGGUAAUCACUCAGUCACUGAAUAUGCUCAAUGUUUACAAAACUUAUAGCAAGAAUUGGACCAUUAUCAGUGUAUUGAGAUGAAGUGUAGCAAAGAUCCAACCCUUUUUAAACGUUUUAUGGAAAAAGAGAGGAUUUACCCCUUUAUUGUUAGAUUGAAUAUUGAGUUUGAUCUUGUUCGAGUGCGACUGUUAGGAAAGGAAGAGUCUCUUUACUCAAUGAAACAAUUGCCAUAAUUCAUGAAAAAAAAAAAGAUAAAAAGGGUUAUAUUAGAGCCUCAAUCAACUGAUGGUUCAACCUUGGUUACAAAAGAUGGAAGUCUUAGAGCUGUAAAAUUAAACUAGUAGUAGUUAAAUGCCUAUUCUAACGGAGAAAGAGGAAAUAAUGGGCAAUCAGAAGUGAGAAAAACACCCAAGAGGGGGUGAAUUGGGUUUUAAAAAAAACUUUUUGAACACAACAAAUUUAAGCACAAAAGAAGCAAAUAUAAAGAGAUAGAGUUAGAGAAAUCAAACUCAGAUUUUAUAAUGGUUCGACACUUGCUUGCCUACACCCACUCUCCUCAAGCUCCUAACCGAGUGAGGGUUCCACUAACUUGAAGCUUCAACCAAGCUUCUAAUCACCUUUACACUUGGAUUCUGGCUCCAAUGGCCUUUUACACCAUCUCUUCAAGUUUCAACUCACUUGAAAGGUUUAACACUCAAUUAACAGAUAUGAAUCUCUCAACCGAGCUCAACAAAGGCUCAAAUACAACUCAAGGCCAGGAUGAAUCACAAAGGUGCACUAAAGGAUAUGCAAAUGGAGAUUUAAUGAACCAAGAAAGGAAUGAGAGCUUAAGCUAAGAACAAGUGAGUAAACAAAUAAAUACAGGUGUUCUCUUACUCAUAAAUGAAGUGAAGCUCUCUAUUUAUAUGUUUCUAACCUCAGGAGCCAAGAAAACCGAAAAGCAGCCUCAACCGAUCGAGUUGGGGGUCGAUCGGUUCACUAGCUGUUAAAGCAUUUAAUGCUUGGUAGGUGACCGUUACCCUUGAUCGGACAUCGACCAGACCUCGAUCAGAGGUCGACCGGGAAGGCAAAUACCUUGACCGGGAAGGAAAGGCUAUUGGAAGAAAGAGAAUGUUUUUUGCACUCCUUGACAGGACCUCAACCGGGAAGAGAGAACCGGUCGAUUGGUAUCCCUAGUUGAGUCGGUUAGCCAGUGCCUCAACCGGUUCACCAUUUUUUACCUGAAAACCUAUCUUUUUUUUGUCUUUUUUCUUCUAACACUUAGGCAAGGUCUUUAGGUAAAUUAGUAUGCCAAUUUUGAAGUGAUUUUCCUAAGGUUCAUUUGAUAAAACUCGGGUUUUGAUGAAACUGUAACUUUAAAGAAUAAACCGAGUUUUUCAAAGAUGCAAGAAAUGAUAUGUAAAUCCUAAGUGCACCCAUGCAUUCAUCUUACAUAUGUUUCCUAUGAUUAAAGGUCUUCCAAAGGUCUUGAUCUUACAUCCAUUAGGUCAUUUAAUGAAUUACAAAUUAAUACCUAAAAUUCUUUAUAAUUCAAACCAAUUAGUAACUUAACCAUGGUUUGUUAUCAUCAAACCUGAUUAGGAGAACCCUUAGGCUAACAAGAAGGAUCAAGAACAAGAAAUAAAGACUCUUUAUGGUGUACCUAUUAUAAGAAGUUGUGACACGUGAAGGAGAGGUGUUGAAAACUCCAUAGUAAGCCCUCAAAUACUCAAAAUACUUCUUAGACAACAAAAAUUAAUCAAGAAGAAGUACAAAGACAUGCACAUUUGACCUUGGCACAAUCAAGAAGUGAAGAAGAAUUCUCUUAAGAGCGACCCAAGUUCAAUAGAGAAAAGAUUGAGAAAAACUGAGAUAUUUUUUAAGGACAUUGAGAAAUCUAUAAGUGGUACUUCUUCCUUGACUUUUUCACAUAAUUCUUAACCCUAUGCAUUUAAUGUGUAUAUCUCAAAAGGAGCAUAGAUAGUAGAUUCUGGUGCUAUGGAACAUAUGACCCAAUCUUCUCAUGGAUUUGUCUCUUAUAGUCUUUGUCCUAGUAAUAAGAAAAUUGCUAUUUGUAAUGACUCACACCUAACCAUGUAGAUAUUGUCAGUUUUAGGCCUAAAAGGUCCUCACGACUUUAAAAUGCGUCUACAUGAUUAAGAGGAGCUCAUAAUUAUAUAAUGCUAGGAACUUUCUUCUUUAUCCUAUGUGUGACAUCACAAACACCCUCCUCUAUGUAGACACAACGUCUUCAUUGUGUCCCAUGGGAUUACUAGGUCAAACAAACUGAGAAAAUAAAAACUAAUCUUAAAUGAGAAAAACACCCAAAAAGGGGGGUGAAUUGGUGAUUACUACCAAAAAGUGUUAUUUUGUAGACCUAAUUAUAAUGGUUUUAAGCACCUUUGAGUAGUAAUCAUAUUCAUUUAAACCAAUUAAUUCAUUAAGGUCCUUAGUAAUUGGUUUUAACCAUUUUGUGGCAAGUUUACAUGUUUUUAUCAGCUUAUGAAUCAAUUCAAGCAUGCCAAAUGAUGGAGGAGCUACUUGGACAAGUUAUGGCAAAGCUUUUGGAAGCUCAAAUUCAUGAAGAACCAAGCUUUGGAGCUACAUAGCCCUUUGCCAAAGUCGUUCAAAGUUUGCAAAGUGAAGCAAAGAGGAAAAGCAAGCAAAGAGGAAAACAGAGGACAGCAGCUGCAGUCUUAUUUCGCACUUUUGGAGCACUUCCCGAAGUCCAUUUUUUACAUACUAUAUACCAUUUCAAAGAUCUGGAAGUCAAGAAUCCAACGCUUCAAACCGUGUACGAUUUGGAGUUGAAAUGAGGAAGAUAUGGCCUUCGGAAGCCAACUGCUCCAGGUUAUGCGAAAAUUUCGCAUUCCACAAGGUGUUAUGCGAAAUUCGCAUAACAUUCGCAUAACCCAUGCGUGUUGCGAAUUUUGCUCUGUUUUUGCCGACUCCACUUUAGAUAUUUUCCUUUGUAUUUUGUGAUGUAAUUUCCUUUCUUAUCCUUGUAACUAACCAAUCACAAGCUUUUGCUUUUGUAAAGACUAUAUAAGGGGUGGAAAUCACCUCUUGAAGAUAUAGACGCAUAUAUACAGAGACGGAGCCUUGCUCUGUUUUUUCUCUCUUCUCCUGUUCUCCCGUUUCUAUUUUCUUAGUAGCCAAACAGCCUCUAAGGGCUUUUCCUUAGAGGAUGAUUGGCUAAAACUUUUAGUUUCUCAAAGUAUGGAUGUUAUGUGAUGGCUUGGAUGCAAUCCCAUGGAAAUUUCUCGCGCCCGGAAGGUAAGGGNNNNNNNNNNNNNNNNNNNNNNNNNNNNNNNNNNNNNNNNNNNNNNNNNNNNNNNNNNNNNNNNNNNNNNNNNNNNNNNNNNNNNNNNNNNNNNNNNNNNGAACCAUUGAUGAAAUUCACUACCAUCUGUUUUGUCAUUUUAAAGGAUUAAAACUUGAUUUGCUAAAUCCAUACCGGUUCGGGAAGCAAGCAUCACCAUAGUUGCAACCCCAACGCGAGGAGCCUAUCCUGAGAUUUCCAAUUUGCAUAAGAGCCAGAGCAUAGCUAUCCUAUCUUUGAGAAACUUGUUUUUACACCCUUUCAUUUUAGUCUUUAAUGUUAGCUUAGAUUAGUUUAAAUCUUUCUGAAAUAUUUACAUCUUCUUUUAAAGCUAACAUCCAUAAGAAAAUCACCUAUUUUCCUAAUUUGAAUAUCACUUGUGUUUGCGAAAACCCUUCCCAGUGAACGAUCCUAGAACCACUAUGCUAUAGUAGCUUGGCUACUUUAGUAAUAGUAUUUAAGGUAUAAAUUUUGUUGAUACACCUUUAAAGCUAAGCUACCAUGAGUCGCAUCAAUUGGGUUUUUAAAAAUCUUUUUUAACACAACAAAUUCAAGAACAAUAGAGGCAAAUAUAAAGAGAUAGAGUUAGAGAAAUCAAACUUAGAUUUUAUAGUAGUUCGGCACUUCCUUACCUACGUCCACUCUCCUCAAGCUCCUAACCAAGUGAGGGUUCCACUAACUUAAAGCUUCAAUGAUUCGACUCAUGGUAGCUUAGCUUUAAAGGCGUAUCAACAAAAUUUAUACCUUAAAUACUAUUACUAAAGUAGCCAAGCUACUAUAGCAUAGUGGUUCUAGGAUCGUUCACUGAAAAGAGUUUUCGCCAACACAAGUGAGAUUCCAAUUUCGAAAAUAGGUGAUUCUUUNNNNNNNNNNNNNNNNNNNNNNNNNNNNNNNNNNNNNNNNNNNNNNNNNNNNNNNNNNNNNNNNNNNNNNNNNNNNNNNNNNNNNNNNNNNNNNNNNNNNNNNNNNNNNNNNNNNNNNNNNNNNNNNNNNNNNNNNNNNNNNNNNNNNNNNNNNNNNNNNNNNNNNNNNNNNNNNNNNNNNNNNNNNNNNNNNNNNNNNNNNNNNNNNNNNNNNNNNNNNNNNNNNNNNNNNNNNNNNNNNNNNNNNNNNNNNNNNNNNNNNNNNNNNNNNNNNNNNNNNNNNNNNNNNNNNNNNNNNNNNNNNNNNNNNNNNNNNNNNNNNNNNNNNNNNNNNNNNNNNNNNNNNNNNNNNNNNNNNNNNNNNNNNNNNNNNNNNNNNNNNNNNNNNNNNNNNNNNNNNNNNNNNNNNNNNNNNNNNNNNNNNNNNNNNNNNNNNNNNNNNNNNNNNNNNNNNNNNNNNNNNNNNNNNNNNNNNNNNNNNNNNNNNNNNNNNNNNNNNNNNNNNNNNNNNNNNNNNNNNNNNNNNNNNNNNNNNNNNNNNNNNNNNNNNNNNNNNNNNNNNNNNNNNNNNNNNNNNNNNNNNNNNNNNNNNNNNNNNNNNNNNNNNNNNNNNNNNNNNNNNNNNNNNNNNNNAUCACUUGUGUAUGCGAAAACCCUUCUCAGUGAACGAUCCUUAAACCACUAUGCGAUAGAAGCGAGGAAUCUCUAGUAAUCGUAUUUAAGGCAUAAAUAUUGAAUAUACACCUUUUAAGCUAUAGGUUGCGUGACAUGGGAUCAAUUCAGUUUUUAAAUAUCUUUAGUCACCCAUCAAAUUCAAGAUCAAUAGAGGCAAAUAUAAAGAGAUAGAGUUAGAGAAAUCAAACUUAGAUUUUAUAGUAGUUCGGCACUUCCUUACCUACGUCCACUCUCCUCAAGCUCCUAACCAAGUGAGGGUUCCACUAACUUAAAGCUUCAAUGAUUCGACUCAUGGUAGCUUAGCUUUAAAGGCGUAUCAACAAAAUUUAUACCUUAAAUACUAUUACUAAAGUAGCCAAGCUACUAUAGCAUAGUGGUUCUAGGAUCGUUCACUGGGAAGGGUUUUCGCAAACACAAGUGAUAUUCAAAUUAGGAAAAUAAGUGAUUUUCUUAUGGAUGUUAGCUUUAAAAGAAAAUGUAAAUGUUUUAGAAAGAUUUAAACUAAUUUAAGCUAACAUUAAAGACUAAAAUGAAAGGGUGUAAAAACAAGUUUCUCAAAGAUAGGAUAGCUAUGCUCUGGCUCUUAUGCAAAUUGGAAAUCUCAGGAUAGGCUCCUCGCAUUGGGGUUGCAACUAUGGUGAUGCUUGCUUCCCGAACCGGUAUGGAUUUAGCAAAUCAAGUUUUAAUCCUUUAAAAUGGCAAAACAGAUGGUAGUGAAUUUCAUCAAUGGUUAUUCACCUUAGACUUCCUUUGAAUGGCUCGUAAGAGAUAACUAGUAGUCUAAAGCUAAAAGCUUACCAAAUAUUGGCAACUCAAAGUCAUUCCAGGUGAUAAACUCACCUUUCAAUGGCCAUUGAAAUUGGUUCUAAUGGAUUAAUGCAAAACUUGGAAUUGAAAACCUCACCUUCCAAUAGCUCGUAGGAGAUAACUAAUGGAUAGAAAUCCAAAAGCUUAUCAAGUAUUGGCCGUUGGAAGUUGUCAAAAGGAAAUAAAAACCAAACUUUGCAUUAAUGAACCAUUAAUGAAAAACGACUACCUUACCUUCCGGGUGCGAGAAAUUUCCAUGGGAUUGCAUCCAAGCCAUCACAUAACAUCCAUACUUUGAGAAACUAAAAGUUUUAGCCAAUCAUCCUCUGAGGAAAAGCCCUCAGAGGCUGUUUGGCUUCCAAGAAAAUAAAAUAUUAAAGAGAAAAGAGAAAAGAGAGAGCUCUGUAUCUAUUCUCUAAGUGUUAAACGUAAUAUCUAUUCUAUAUGUGUUCCAAGAGGUGAUUUCCACCCCUUAUAUAGUCUUUACAAAAGCAAAAGCUUGUGAUUGGUUAGUGAUUACUACCAAAAAGUGCUAUUUUGUAGACCUAAUUAUAAUGGUUUUAAGCACCUUUGAGUAGUAAUCAUAUUCAUUUAACCCAAUUAAUUCAUUAAGGUCCUUAGUAAUUGGUUUUAACCAUUUUGUGGCAAGUUUACAUGUUUUUAUCAGCUUAUGAAUGAAUUCAAGCAUGCCAAAUGAUGGAGGAGCUACUUGGACAAGUUAUGGAAAAGCUUUUGGAAGCUCAAAUUCAUGAAGAACCAAGCUUUGGAGCUCCAUAGCCCUUUGCCAAAGUCGUUCAAAGUAUGCAAGGAAAGAACAAUGGAGAAGAGGAAAGCAAAGUGAAAAAAUCAGAGGACAGCAGCUGCAGUAUUCUUUCGCACUUUUGGAGCACUUCCCGAAGUUAAUUUUCUACAUACUAUAUUCCAUUUCAAAGCUCUGGAAGUCAAGAAUCCAACGCUUCAAACCGUGCACGAUUUGGAGUUGAAAUGAGGAAGAUAUGGCUUUCGGAAGCCAACUGCUCCAGGUUAUGCGAAAAUUUCGCAUAACACCUUCAAAAUUCGCAUAACCCAUGCGUGUUGCGAAUUUUCCUCUGCUNNNNNNNNNNNNNNNNNNNNNNNNNNNNNNNNNNNNNNNNNNNNNNNNNNNNNNNNNNNNNNNNNNNNNNNNNNNNNNNNNNNNNNNNNNNNNNNNNNNNNNNNNNNNNNNNNNNNNNNNNNNNNNNNNNNNNNNNNNNNNNNNNNNNNNNNNNNNNNNNNNNNNNNNNNNNNNNNNNNNNNNNNNNNNNNNNNNNNNNNNNNNNNNNNNNNNNNNNNNNNNNNNNNCUAUCCAUUAGUUAUCUCCUACGAGCUGUUGGAAGGUGAGGUUUUCAAUUCCAAGUUUUGCAUUAAUCCAUUAGAACCAAUUUCAAUGGCCAUUGAAAGGUGAGUUUAUCACCUGGAAUGACUUUGAGUUGCCAAUAUUUGGUAAGCUUUUAGCUUUAGACUACUAGUUAUCUCUUACGAACCAUUCAAAGGAAGUCUAAGGUGAAUAACCAUUGAUGAAAUUCACUACCAUCUGUUUUGCCAUUUUAAAGGAUUAAAACUUGAUUUGCUAAAUCCAUACCGGUUCGGGAAGCAAGCAUCACCAUAGUUGCAACCCCAACGCGAGGAGCCUAUCCUGAGAUUUCCAAUUUGCAUAAGAGCCAGAGCAUAGCUAUCCUAUCUUUGAGAAACUUGUUUUUACACCCUUUCAUUUUAGUCUUUAAUGUUAGCUUAGAUUAGUUUAAAUCUUUCUGAAAUAUUUACAUCUUCUUUUAAAGCUAACAUCCAUAAGAAAAUCACCUAUUUUCCUAAUUUGAAUAUCACUUGUGUUUGCGAAAACCCUUCCCAGUGAACGAUCCUAGAACCACUAUGCUAUAGUAGCUUGACUACUUUAGUAAUAGUAUUUAAGGUAUAAAUUUUGUUGAUACGCCUUUAAAGCUAAGCUACCAUGAGUCGCAUCAGUUAGUUACAAGGAUAAGAAAUGAAAUUACAUCAAAAAAUACAUCGGAAGAUAUCUAAAGUGGAGUCGGCAAAAACAGAGGAAAAUUCGCACCACGCAUGGGUUGUGCGAAUUUGGAAGGUGUUGUGCGAAAUUUUCGCACAAGCCUGGAGCAGUUGUCUUCCGAAGGCCAUAUCUUCCUCAUUUCAGCUCCAAAUCGUACACAGUUUGAAGUUUUGGAUUCUUGACUUCCUGAUCUUUGAAAUGGUAUAUAGCAUGUAGAAAAUGGACUUCGGGAAGUGCUCCAAAAGUGCGAAAGAAUACUACAGCUGCUGUUCUCUGUUUUCCUCUUCUCCAUUGUUCUUUCCUUGCAUACUUUGAACGACUUUGGCAAAGGGCUAUGGAGCUCCAAAGCUUGGUUCUUCAUGAAUUUUAGCUUCCAAAAGCUUUGCCAUAACUUUUCCAAGUAGUUCCUCCAUCAUUUGGCAUGCUUGAAUUGAUUCAUAAGCUAAUAAAAACAUGUAAACUUGCCACAAAAUGGUUAAAACCAAUUACUAAGGACCUUAAUGAAUUAAUUGGGUUAAAUGAAUAUGAUUACUACUCAAAGGUGCUUAAAACCAUUAUAAUUAGGUCUACAAAAUAGCACUUUUUGGUAGUAAUCAUUCAACCAAACUUCUAAUCACCUUUACACUUGGAUUACAGCUCCAAUGGGCUCUUACACAAUCUCUUCAAGAUUCACUCACUUGAAGGCUUUAACACUUAAUUAACAAGAAUGAACUUCUCUCAACCUAGCUCAAUAAUAGCUCAAUAAUAGCUCAAAUACAAAUCAAAGGCUAGGAUGAAUCACAAAGGUGCACAAAAGGAUAUGCAAGUGAAGAUUUAAUGCACCAAGAAAGAAAUGACAGCUUUGAAGACAAGAACAAGUGGGUAGACAAAUAAAUGCAAGUGUUCUCUAUCUUAUUAAUGAAGUGGAGCUCUCUAUUUAAAGGUUUCUAACCUCGGGAGCCAAGAAAAUCAAAAAACAACCUCAACCAGUUGAGUCGGGGGUCGACCAGUUCACUAGCCAUUAGAGCAUUUAAUGUUUUGGCAGGUUACCGUUGCUUCAACCAAACUUCAAUCAGACCUCGACUGGAGGUCGACCGGGAAAGGAAGGCUACUGGAAGAGAGAGUGUGUUUUUGCACUCCUUGAUCGGACCUCAACUGGGCAAAAGGAACUUGUCGACCGGUACCCUAGUCAAUUGAGCCGGUUGGCCCAGUGUCUCGACCGAUUCAACAUUUUAGCACCAAAAACCUUUUUUUUUUUUUUUUUUGUUAUUUUAUCAUCUAACUCUUGGACAAAGUCUUUAGGUAAAUUAAUAUGCCAAUUUUGAAACAUUUUCCUUAAGGUUCAUUUGAUAAAACUUGGGUUUUAAUGAAAUUGUAACUUUAAAGAAUAAACCGAGUUUUCCAAAAAUGCAUGAAAUGAUCUGUAAAACCUAAGUGCACCCAUGCAUUCAUCUUACAUUUGUUUUCUAUUAUUAAAGGUCUUCCAAGUGUCUUGAUUUUGUAUCCAUUAGGUGCUUUGAUGAAUUUCCAAAUUAAUACCUGAGAUUCUUUACGAUUCAAACCAAUUAGUAACUUAACCAUGGUUUGUUAUCAUCAAAACCUGAUUAGUAGAACCCUUGGCUAACAAUCUCCCAUUUUUUUAUGAUGACAAACCUUGGUUAUCUAGGAGAAAAAGAAUCUCCCCCUCAAAUCAAUCAUGGAUCAAUCAAUCAAAAUUUAUGAAGUUAAAACCAAAAUAAUCAAGACAUGCUAGAGAGAAUGAAUUGACAAUAAGAAAAUAGUAUAAGUCAUGAAGCAUAUCAUAUAUAAGUCAAAUGUACACGAAACAUAUAAGCCUAUCACAUAUACGAUCCAAACAAGUGAUAUGACAAUGAUAUGCAUGUAAGUCUCCUAGAUCCUAAAUAUCUCCCUUUUUUGGCAACAUAAAAAAGAAACAAAUGGGGUCUCUAUGCAAUCAAGGCUAAGGAGAUGGAAGUGGAAACACGGAGCGUAGAUAAGCCAUCAUCUACUCAUGUUGACUCUCCAGGCUACCCUCAAUGCACUCAAUCCUCUACUGGAAAUGCUCAAAUGCAGCCUAAUAUUGAUCCAUGCGAGCCUCGAGACUCUCAAACCAUAAGGUGAAGCCAUCCUUCUAUUGAUCCAUGCGAUCCUCCAUAGGCUCAAAUCUCUGUUGCAGAUACUCAAUCUGAGAGGUGAAUCCAGUCUGAUACUGAUCCAUGCGAUUCUCCAUGGAGUAGAACCGAGUAUCACUUACUACAGCAAGCCCCUCCAUGUGAGUGCCUAGAGAGCUAAUUUGAGCAGAUUAGCUUUGAAUAUAAAAAUAUAUUCACCUAUAAUAAUUAAUAAUCUAAUAAAUAAAUACUAACAUUUUAAAUAAUAUUGAUUUCAAAUAUAUAUAAUAUUUUAUUAUGUUUUGUAUUCGUAAUAUUUUUAUAUUUAGAAUAUUUACAGUUUUCAUAUCAUAGAUCUCAUAUUUACAGUUUUCAUAUCAUAGAUCUCAUUUUCUACAUUUAUUUUAUUUUUAUUUUUAUUUUUAUUUUUUUAUAUAAUAUUAAACAUGAAUUAAAAAUAAAUAAAAAACUAUCCACGUGUUUAAAACUAAAUCUUUUGGCUUUUAAAAGGUAAACACGGAAAAAUAGUAUAAAAAAUAUUAACUUACCUUUAAUUUCAUUCAAUAAAAAAUUAGUAAUGAUCAUUCUUUAAGAGUAUUUAAUUUUAAAAGUAAUAUUUGAAGGUAUGUAAAAUUAAAAUUUUAAAAGUGUUUAUAUUAAAUUUUUGAAUAAAUUCACAAUUUCCAUCAUAAUACAUUGAUAUUUACAAAUAACCAAAAAAGAAAACUAAUGUUUUUAUUAAAUAUGUAAUUUAUAUAUAUAUAUAUAUAUAAUUAAAAAUUUAAACCAUUAAAAUUGUCUUUAUUUUUCAUGUAUAAUUUUUUUUUUAAAGUAUAUUAUAAUAGACCCCUCUUGUGGACCAAGGGGUAUUGUUGGCCACCCGGGAGAACUGGGCAUUUUUUUGGGGGGGAUGACCUCCAUGGGAGCAAGCCACUGAGACUUGUGGCAAGGACAUGACCACCUUGCCAUAGUGGUGGUUGAGGAUGGAGACCUUUUUGUUGAAGGAUGAGCAGUGGAAUGAGUAAAAUCUUAUAGGAAAAGAAAGAGGCAAGAUAGAAAAAAAAAACAGGGGAAUGAGGUUUUCAGUAGGUAGAGCUUUUUGGGAGAAGGUGAGGGAGGAGGAUCGAAUAAGCAGGGGAAAGUUUUUGCUGAGUUGGGAGAAGCUAUGCAAUCAAGUUCUUGAAACCGAGCAAUCCUUGUUCGAGUUGGAGUUAUUCGGGUGCAGUCACUGCAUGCUCUGUUGUCCCAUUUUUGCACCAUUUUGCUCUAUAUCUUGUUGAUGUUUGGGUUUGUUUCCGAUGAUUGGGAGUGGACAUUAUAAAUCAUACAUAUCUAAGAUCAUUUGCAUACACUUUUUGUUUGGUUUUUCGGUUUUUAUAGAAUCUGAAAUCAUACUCUGUUUCUUUGCUUUGUUUUGGUUUAUCUGUAAUAUGCCUGAAACCAUUUGUUUUUCUUUUUUUCUAUUUAUAUUUAGUGUUUAUUUUGGUCACUCACAAUCAGUUUACAAGCUCAUUGACAAACUAUGAAAUGGUGCAAGGUUUAAUGGUCUUUGGUUUGUUUAUGUAUGCUUUGUUUUGGUCUUUGUUGUGUUUGGGGGAGUAUCCCAGCCAUCUUGGUUGGGAUGUUCCUAAGAAAACCCCGUGUAUACCACUUUUCACACAGACGAAAACUCUUGGAUGCUUGUGUUGCCAUGUAACCCACACACCAAGGCCUUCACAUCUUCCCCUCGCGAGUUCCUUUUUAGAUUUGUUGGAAUUCAGUGAUGGGCAUGGUGAAGAGGAAGUCAUUCAGUAGUUAUAAAAGGAUAAUGCAAGCCAUUUCAACAUCAUUAGUGCAAUCUAGAAAGGUGGUAACAUGGGAAAGAGGCAUAUCUGGUCAACUGGGUCACGAGGAAUGGGUGAGAGAAAGAUAGCUGCAGGAAGGGAGGUAGCAACUCAUAAAUGGUGGAAAGGGAGAGCAAAUGGUGGGGGUUGUGAUUUUGUGAUUCUGUAGGAAAGGAGAGCACAAAUACAAAGAGAGUGUAGAGAGGAGGCACAGGCACAGGUAAAGGCAAAAGCAUGGAGAUGGUUCAGAUGCAGAGAAGGUUUGUGGAGUAUGCAACAUCCUUACUUCAUGAGGGGUUCUUAGAUGGUCAGUUCACACAGCUUUAGCAACUACAAGAUGAGAGCAACCCUGAUUUUGUGGUUGAAGUGGUGUCUCUCUUCUUUUAGGAUUCUGAUAAGCUUCUCAAUGAUCUACCCAUAGCCCUAGAUCAGCAAAAUGUAGAUUUUAAGAGGGUUGAUUCCCAUGUUCAUCAGUUGAAGGGCAGCAGCUCUAGCAUAGGACCACAGAGAGUAAAAAAUGUUUGUAUUGCCUUUCGCAACUACUGUGAGGAACAGAACACUGACGCGUGCUUGAGCUGCCUACAGCAAGUGAAACAAGAGUACUCCCUUAUUAAGAGUACGCUUGAAACUCUCUUCAGGUUGGAGCAACAAAUUUUGAUAGCUAGUGGGUCGAUACUGAUAGGUGGUCCCAGUCAAAGCUAUAAAGAAAAGAAGAAAAAAAAAGGAUCUUUAAAAUAAUAUUUUGCUUAAGGUGAGAAUGAACCUUGUGAUUUAUUAUCUGGCGUCCCCUUGUUCUCCAUGGCUAAAAUGAUUAAAUACAUAAAGGACUCAACUGCUCCACUAAACAAAAGGAGUGAACGGCUAGUGGACAAUAAAAUAGCCAACAAUGGUGGAAUUGUUCUUUCCACUUAUUGACCAAUUCCUAUGCAAACAAAAUAACAUAAUAACAACUUAUUGACCAUUGACCGAUUCCUAUGUUGCAAACAAAAUAACAUCAUAAUCUACCAUCCCAUGGUCCCAUGCUCAACUUCUGUACCUUGGAUUCUUGAUAGGCACUCGAGUUGAUCUUCUUAACUUAUGAUUGCCCCCUUCUUUCAGUCGAACCUUGUCCUCAAGGUUCAAGUUAAUAUACUUGUUGCGCAACUCCUAGGUAUUUUCCCACGUAGCAUCUUCUUUUGGAAGCUUUUUCCACUGGACAAGGCUUUUUUCAACAAAACUUGACCCUUUAUUAACCCACCUAGUAUCCAAAAUAGCUUCGGGUUCCAUAAUAAUCUCACCAUCAUUAGUUAGGGGCGGCAAAGUGUUUGUGGCCUUAGUCUCCUCUACCUGCCUUUUAAGCAGUGAAACAUGAAAAACAGGGUGAAUUCGGGAACCUUUAGGCAACUUGAGUUUGUAAGCUACCUUUCCAACAUUUUCUUCAAUGUGGUAUGGGCCAUAAAAGCGACUGGCCAACUUUUGAUGCGCCUUCCUAUAGACAGUUUGCCGACAAUAAGGAUGGAGUUUAAGGAAGACCAAAUCCCCCACUUGGAAUUCCAUGUCCCUUCUUUUUUAAUCUGCCACUUGUUUCAUUCGAUUAACUGCUGCAUGUAAAUUGAUCUUGAGCUAUUGUAAAAUGGCAUUUCGAGAUACCAAUGUCUGGUCCACCUCAUUCAUAGAAGAUGCUCCAACUUGAUAGUUCAGAAUACUUGGUGGUGGUCUUCCAUAGAGAGCUUGAAAAUGGGUCAUCCCAAUAGAGGAGUGGUAUGUAGUGUUGUACCAAAAUUCAGCCCAUGGAAGAAAAGCACUCCAUUUUCAAGGUUGUUGAGAAACAAAACAGUGAAGAUAUUGCUCAACGCACCUGUUAACUACCUCAGAUUGACCGUCGAUUUAGGGAUGAUAGGCAGAGCUCAUGUGCAGCUUAGUACCCAACAUUUUGAAGAAUUCACACCAAAAGUGACUUAUGAAAAUGGGAUCUCUGUCACUAAUAAUUGAUUUUGGCAAGCCAUGAAGCUUGACAAUCCCUUCCACAAAUUUUUUAGCUACCAUUUUUGCCGUGUAAGGAUGUGACAAAGCUAAAAAAUGAGUUGAUUUACUCAGGCAGUCCACUACCAUAAAAAUAGUGCUUUUUCCAUUAGAUGGUGGUAAUCCCUCAAUAAAAUCCAUGGUGAUGUUGUCCUAAACUUGGAAAAGAAUGGGCAAUGGUUGAAGAAGACCAGCUAGAGAUAAAGUUUCUGUUUUAUUCUUUUGGAAAACAGUGCAUGAGGUUACAUAUUGUUGAAUCACCUUAUGCAUUGAUGGCCAAUAGAAUUGUUGUGUCAAUCGCUUGUAUGUUCUCAAUACCCCAGAAUGUCUUUCAUAUGGUGAGUCAUGGAAUUCCUGCAAUAACUGAUUGAAAAGUUGGGAAUUAGGAGGAAUUACUACACGAUUUUUGUAACAUACCAAACCAUUCUGCCACUUAUAGGGUGCUCCAGGAUUUGCAGUGGCAAGCUUGCCAAUUCGGACCAUGUAGGGAUGCUUGUUGGCUUCCUUCUUGAUUGCGUUCCACAAAGAUGUUAGAGAGAUAAAAAGAGUAUUAAGGUUGGGGUUGCCUAUUACUCUUGAUAAAGCAUCAGCAACAAAAUUCUCUCUUUCCGGUUUGUAAGUGAUCUCAUAGUCAUACCCCCCAGCAAUUUGGAUACCCACUUUUGUUGUUCUUGCGUCACUAUGCGUUGCUCCAUUAAAUACUUGAGGUUGUGUUGGUCAAUUUGGAUGUAGAAUUUUUAGCAUAAUAAGUAAGGCCACCAAGUCCGAAUAGCUUGAACAAUGGCAAGCAUUUCUUUGGCAUAGGUAGACCAUGAUUGCUUAGUGAUUCCCAAGGCUCGACUCAUGAAUGCUAUGGGUCUCCCUUGUUAAGUUAGCACUGCUCCAAUGCCAGCACCUGAAGCAUCAGAUUCAAUGACAAAUGGUUCAUUAAAAUUAGGCAUAGUAAGGGUAGGAGUAGAAGUCAUUGUUUGUUUCAAAGCCUUGAAUGCAUCCUUUGCUUCUUCUGUCCAUCUAAAUUGCCCAUUUUUUAAGAGGUUGGUGAGUGGCCGAGCUAUAAUUCCAUAAUUGCGUACGAACUUUCUGUAAUAACCUAUAAGGCCUAAGAAUCCUCGCAAGUCAGAAACAUUAGUGGGUCUAGGCCAAUUAAGCAUAGCCUUAAUUUUCCCUUGGUCCACCUUGACACUUUGUGGAGUUACAACGUAACCCAAAUAUUCAACUUCUUGCUGGCCGAAAGCACACUUGCCAAGCUUGAUGAAAAAUUUGUGAUGCCUUAAUAUUUCAAAAGCCUUUUUAACAUGUUCAAUAUGCAUGAUCCAAUUGGGGUUUUAAAUUAGAAUAUCAUAAAAAAAAAAAAUAACAAAUUUUAGAAGAUAUGGCCGAAAUAUUGAAUUCAUAGUAGCCGGAAAAGUUGAAGGAGCAUUACACAAGCCAAAAGGCAUAACCACAUAUUCAUAAGGACCAUUGUGUGUACGAAAGGCAUUUUUGUGAAUGUCUAAUGGGUGUACCCAUACCUGGUGAUAACCUGAUCAGAGAUCAAGGUUAGUAAAAAAAGGUUACCCCAUAUAGUUCGUCAGGCAUAUCAUCAACGGUUGGAAUAAGAAAUCUAUCCUUGAUGGUUAUAGCAUUAAGAGCUCUAUACUCAAUACAAAAAUGCCAAGUUCCAUCUUUUUUUUUUACUAACAGAACAGGUGAAGAGAAUGGACUUGUGUUAGACCUUAUUAGCCCCAAUUUUAACAUGUCAUGAACUUGUUUUUCUAUUUCAGCUUUUUGAAAGUAGGCAUACCUAUAUGACCGGACAUUAAUUGGCUCAGUCCCCUAUAUGAGAUUGAUGUGGUGAUCUAUCUCCCUUUCUAGUGGAAGCUUCUUUGGUUCCUGAUAAAUGUCAUCCAAUUCUUGUAACAACUGUUGCAUUUCUAGUUGAAUUCUUUGAGGCACUUCUUCCAUGGUUGCAUGUAAACAGACGGCGAAUAUGGAGUUUCCCUGCUUUAUCUCUUUUGAAAUUGUUGUGAAUUUCGUAGGCUGAAUUGGUUGGUUGUCAAUUCUUUCUAGUUGAUGACGCUGGUCCUUCCACGAAAACUCUAUUGUCAUUAUUUUCUAAUCACAAACCACCAUGCCCAAUUGUUCAAGCCAGUAGACUCCUAACACCAUAUCCAACCCAAUCAGCGGUAAUGAAUAAAGAGUUAAGGUAGAUGGAAUACCUUGCAAUAGGACUGAAACAUUUUCAAAUCUCUCUUGGCACUUUAGAGGAUCACCAUUAGCCACUUUCACGUUAAAGGGUUCAAUUGGCACCAUCGGUAAUUGCAAUAGUUCAGCUAUCCUCUCAUUGAUGAAAUUGUGGGUUAACCCACUAUCAAUAAGAACAAUCAAUUCAUGGGGUCCCACUUUAGCCGAGACUCGCAUGGUUCUGGCUGUUGACCACCCAGUGAGAGCAUGGAGUGAAAUUUCAGGUUCUCCUUGAAGGUGGGUGUGAGCUUCCUCUUCGUCAUAGUUUUCUUCAAGCAAGAGCAGUUGUAGUCCUUUGCAUUUGUGCCCUGGUGCAAAUUUCUCAUCGCAAUUAAAACAAAGGCCUUGAGCACGCCUCCUCUGCAUCUCAACCCAAGUGAGUCAUUUUAUUGGUGAAAGGGUCUUCAUUUUCAUUGAAGAAGAGCCAAUAGUGGUCCUACUAAAUGGACGUGUAGUCGUCUCAUGAUAGUUCAACUACUCAUCUCGCAUCCUAGCCAAACUGAUGGCUUCCUUCGAGGAUUUUGGCUUAAACAUCCGAAUCCCAUCUGCUAUUUCAGUUUUAAGACCUCCCAUAAAUGUGCCAACCAAUGCCUUUUGAGUUCACCCCUGAACUCUAUUCCCCAAUCUCUUAAAUUCCCUUUGGUACUCACGUAAGGAUCCCGUUUGUCUUAUUUUUUAUAAAGACUCGUCAAAGUCUUCACAAUCUGUUGGACCAAAGUGAGACCAUAAUUCCUUUACAAAAAUGUCCCACGUCACCUCUUUC